UGGCGAACGGGUGAGUAACAUAUCGGAACGUACCGGGUANCGGGGGAUAACUGAUCGAAAGAUCAGCUAAUACCGCAUACGUCUUGAGAGGGAAAGCAGGGGACCUUCGGGCCUUGCGCUAUCCGAGCGGCCGAUAUCUGAUUAGCUGGUUGGCGGGGUAAAGGCCCACCAAGGCGACGAUCAGUAGCGGGUCUGAGAGGAUGAUCCGCCACACUGGGACUGAGACACGGCCCAGACUCCUACGGGAGGCAGCAGGU
Molecule: ribosomal RNA, 257 nt
Filed under: uncultured Neisseria sp.
Lineage: Bacteria; Pseudomonadati; Pseudomonadota; Betaproteobacteria; Neisseriales; Neisseriaceae
Description: partial 16S ribosomal RNA
Rfam family: Bacterial small subunit ribosomal RNA
Source: RNAcentral